AAUGGGGGCAACCCUGAUCCAGCCAUGCCGCGUGAGUGAAGAAGGCCUUCGGGUUGUAAAGCUCUUUCGGACGGAAAGAAAUCGCGCAGGUAAAUAAUCUGCGUGGAUGACGGUACCGUAAGAAGAAGCACCGGCUAACUACGUGCCAGCAGCCGCGGUAAUACGUAGGGUGCGAGCGUUAAUCGGAAUUACUGGGCGUAAAGCGUGCGCAGGCGGCUUUGUAAGACAGGCGUGAAAUCCCCGGGCUUAACCUGGGAACUGCGCUUGUGACUGCCAGGCUAGAGUACGGCAGAGGGGGGUGGAAUUCCACGUGUAGCAGUGAAAUGCGUAGAGAUGUGGAGGAACACCGAUGGCGAAGGCAGCCCCCUGGGUCGACACUGACGCUCAUGCACGAAAGCGUGGGGAGCAAA
RNAcentral lists this ribosomal RNA (410 nucleotides) under uncultured bacterium. RNAcentral's name for it is "bacterial SSU rRNA". It matches the Rfam family "Bacterial small subunit ribosomal RNA", at positions 370 to 772 of the family's 1533-position model. The record is from RNAcentral.